This 559-nucleotide ribosomal RNA is filed under the name Listeria monocytogenes. RNAcentral's name for it is "partial 23S ribosomal RNA". It matches the Rfam family "Bacterial large subunit ribosomal RNA", at positions 395 to 954 of the family's 2925-position model. The record is from RNAcentral. Lineage: Bacteria; Bacillati; Bacillota; Bacilli; Caryophanales; Listeriaceae.
UCCAGAGUGGAUCCUGAGUACGGCGGAACACGUGAAAUUCCGUCGGAAUCCGGGAGGACCAUCUCCCAAGGCUAAAUACUCCCUAGUGACCGAUAGUGAACCAGUACCGUGAGGGAAAGGUGAAAAGCACCCCGGAAGGGGAGUGAAACAGUUCCUGAAACCGUGUGCCUACAAGUAGUUAGAGCCCGUUAAUGGGUGAUAGCGUGCCUUUUGUAGAAUGAACCGGCGAGUUACGAUUUGUUGCAAGGUUAAGCGGAAAAAGCGGAGCCGUAGCGAAAGCGAGUCUGAAUAGGGCGCAUAAGUAACAGGUCGUAGACCCGAAACCAGGUGAUCUACCCAUGUCCAGGAUGAAGGUAAGGUAAUACUUACUGGAGGUCCGAACCCACGCACGUUGAAAAGUGCGGGGAUGAGGUGUGGGUAGCGGAGAAAUUCCAAUCGAACUUGGAGAUAGCUGGUUCUCUCCGAAAUAGCUUUAGGGCUAGCCUCGAGGUAAAGAGUCAUGGAGGUAGAGCACUGUUUGGACUAGGGGCCCUUCUCGGGUUACCGAAUUCAGAUAAAC